This 226-nucleotide non-coding RNA is filed under the name Bacillus sp. (in: firmicutes). RNAcentral's name for it is "Bacillus sp. T-box sequence". It matches the Rfam family "T-box leader". Rfam says of the family: Uncharged tRNA acts as the effector for transcription antitermination of genes in the T-box leader family. Lineage: Bacteria; Bacillati; Bacillota; Bacilli; Caryophanales; Bacillaceae. The record is from RNAcentral.
UUAUAGGCAUUGAUGGGAACCCAGUAAUGCUUCUAUCCCUGUUUCAGAAAGCCGGCGUUCGCUGCGAGCCGGUACAAAUAGAAGUAUGAAUUACCUCCCUGAGCUUUCACUGUCAACCUGCCCAGCAGUUAUAGCAGUGGACGGAUUAUCCGUUAUUCUGAAAGAGUGGAGGACAGCUGUCCUCAAUUUGGGUGGUACCGCGCAAAAAUGAUCAUGCGUCCCUGCA